Long non-coding RNA from Ochotona princeps (American pika), 501 nucleotides. RefSeq lists it as uncharacterized. Lineage: Eukaryota; Metazoa; Chordata; Mammalia; Lagomorpha; Ochotonidae. The record is from RefSeq and is a predicted model, not a curated record. The transcript is spliced from 3 exons.
CUAAGUUGGGCCAGUUUGAAGGUGCGAACCAAGAAUUCAAUCUGAAUCUUCCACGUGGGUGCAAGAAUGCAGCUACCUGAACCAUCACUGUUGCCUCCCAGGGUGCACAUUAGCAGACAGCUGGGUGAAAAGCAGAGCCAGCAUGCAGACCCAGACCCUUCAGUAUGAGAUGCUGGCAUUCCAAGUGGUGGAUGGAAACCAGAGGACGCAGAACCACGAUGAUGCUUAAGACCACUCUAGGCAAGGCUGCUCUCUGUGUCACUGUUCGGCCUCUUGUCAACUGCAAAACCACUUCUGCUGACUGCUGAGACAUGAAGGAGGAGAAGCAGGUGGAAGAAAAGCUUCCUGGGGAAAGAAAUGUCUCCAUGCAGGCUCCUGUACAGAACGGCGUGCAAGUCAGCCAGUCCGCUCCUUCAGUUGCACCAGGAUGCUGACACAGGAUGCUGAGUUGGGCCUACCUGUCACCAGAAGGACGAACCUCUACCAAACAACCAGCAACAG